RNAcentral lists this ribosomal RNA (427 nucleotides) under uncultured bacterium. RNAcentral's name for it is "partial 16S ribosomal RNA". It matches the Rfam family "Bacterial small subunit ribosomal RNA", at positions 355 to 774 of the family's 1533-position model. The record is from RNAcentral.
UGGGGAAUUUUGGACAAUGGGCGAAAGCCUGAUCCAGCAAUGCCGCGUGAGUGAAGAAGGCCUUCGGGUUGUAAAGCUCUUUUGUCAGGGAAGAAACGGUGAGGGCUAAUAUCCCUUGAUAAUGACGGUACCUGAAGAAUAAGCACCGGCUAACUACGUGCCAGCAGCCGCGGUAAUACGUAGGGUGCAAGCGUUAAUCGGAAUUACUGGGCGUAAAGCGUGCGCAGGCGGUUUUGUAAGUCUGAUGUGAAAUCCCCGGGCUCAACCUGGGAAUUGCAUUGGAGACUGCAAGGCUAGAAUCUGGCAGAGGGGGGUAGAAUUCCACGUGUAGCAGUGAAAUGCGUAGAUAUGUGGAGGAACACCGAUGGCGAAGGCAGCCCCCUGGGUCAAGAUUGACGCUCAUGCACGAAAGCGUGGGGAGCAAACA